GGUUGUGUAGUGUAGUGGUUAUCACUCUGGAUUUUGAUGAGGAAAUCCAAUUUCGAGUCAUUCUCUUCCAGUAACCCCGGUUCGAACCCGGGCACGACCU
Rhypophila decipiens is the source of this 100-nucleotide non-coding RNA. The record is from the annotation of a GenBank genome assembly. NCBI's taxonomy places the organism in Eukaryota, Fungi, Ascomycota, Sordariomycetes, Sordariales, Naviculisporaceae.